CGGCGUGCCUAACACAUGCAAGUCGAACGAGAAAUCCUGAGCAAUCGGGAGAGUAAAGUGGCGCACGGGUGAGUAACGCGUGGGUAAUCUACCCUGGAGUUAGGAAUAACACUUCGAAAGGGGUGCUAAUACCUAAUAAGAUCCUGAAAAUCACGGNUUUUUGAGAUUAAAGAUGGCUGAGGCUUGCAAGCUAUUGCUCCAGGAUGAGCCCGCGUACCAUUAGCUAGUUGGUAGGGUAACGGCCUACCAAGGCAACGAUGGUUAGCUGGUCUGAGAGGAUGACCAGCCACACUGGAACUGAGAUACGGUCCAGACUCCUACGGGAGGCAGCAGUGAGGAAUCUUGCGCAAUGGGGGCAACCCUGACGCAGCAACGCCGCGUGAGCGAUGAAGGCCUUCGGGUCGUAAAGCUCUGUCAGAUGGGAAGAAAAUUCCUGCGAUGAAUAAUCGCAGGAAUUGACGGUACCGUUAAAGGAAGCACCGGCUAACUCCGUGCCAGCAGCCGCGGUAAUACGGAGGGUGCAAGCGUUGUUCGGAAUUAUUGGGCGUAAAGAGCGUGUAGGCGGCCUUGUAAGUCAGAUGUGAAAUCCCUUGGCUUAACCAAGGAAGGGCAUUUGAAACUGCUUGGCUUGAGUACGGGAGGGGGAAGUGGAAUUCCCGGUGUAGAGGUGAAAUUCGUAGAUAUCGGGAGGAACACCAGUGGCGAAGGC
Molecule: ribosomal RNA, 709 nt
Filed under: uncultured bacterium
Lineage: Bacteria
Description: bacterial SSU rRNA
Rfam family: Bacterial small subunit ribosomal RNA
Source: RNAcentral